This 2657-nucleotide long non-coding RNA is filed under the name Homo sapiens (human). Its description in RNAcentral is "non-protein coding lnc-ARHGAP18-1:3". The record is from RNAcentral. Lineage: Eukaryota; Metazoa; Chordata; Mammalia; Primates; Hominidae.
GGUUACCACUGGAGGGGUUUGAGCAGAGCCAUGGCAUAUACUGAUCUACGUUGGAAGCAGAAAAACUGCCAGGAAAAUGUCACAGCCACCCCUUACUGAACAGCAGAAACACCAGCAAAACACCAACUGCAACAUGGUGUAUUUUGAAGGUGAGAUUAAAUUUACCUACACCUAGAGAAAUAAUUGGAGCACAUGUCUAUUUGGGCCAAGAGGAUAAAGGCCAGUAGAGGAAUCAGAUCAAAGAACUUCCUCAGGGAAGUGUGCAGAGAACUGGAGUGGACCUUCCCCUAGGAAGCUGCCCAAAACGAGAGUGCUGGAAAGCUGGCCGCAGUGAGGCACUUCAGAUCCCAAGGGUAUGCUGGGGAAGCUGCCACAGGUGGGAGCACUUGCUGCUGGACCCUAGGCACUGUUGAAACAACUGCACCAUCUGCAGGAGCCCAGCAAGGUGCCUUCAGCCAUGAUUAUAAGUUUCCUGAGGCCUCCCCAGCCAUAAGAAACUCCAAAGCCAGGCAUCCCAUCUGGAGAGAGAGAAGACUGAAGCAGAAACACAAUGGGAAGGAAGCAAAGAUGGAGAGAUGAGUUUUUGGAUUCAACUGAAGCCCUUGCUAUCUGCUAGAGUCAGAGUCAUCACAAUUGGGGGGUCUUCAUUAAGCUACACUUUUUAAUGGAACAUCCUAGUGAGGUUUGAGAGUACAGCUUUAUGGUCUAUAUUACAUUACUAAGCCGAUUUUAUUGGAAAGAACUUGUUUGCAUCCCUGCUAGACAAAAACCUACAAGUUAACCUUUGCCCGUAUGGAGUUGUAAAACAGACCAGUUGAUAGAAAGAGAAGCCUGCUUCCCGAAGCCCUCAGCAGAAGCCGAGCAGAUGUUGGCACCAUGCUUCUUGUACAGCCUGCAGAACUUGAAGAAACACUCCAUAUUAGUUUUCUGGAGCCAUCGUUAUGAAGCAACACAGACUGGGUGGCAUAAACAAUGGAGAUUUAUUUUUUCACAAUUCCGGAGGCUAGAAGUUUGAGAUCAAGGUGUUGGAAAGUGUCUCAGGAUGAUACAUACCGGUUUUUAACUUUGGUGUCAUCAAAUGCAAUUGCAAUGUGACUGUUUCUUGAAAGCCCGAACUGCUUGCUCCCUAUCAAAAGAGCUGGUUCUGAUUCUGCAGCACAAGGACCCUGUAAAAUACCCAGGAGAGAAAAACAGGAGAUUAUGGACUGUUCUUUAAAAAGCAUUUUAAAGGGGGAACAAGUGAGAUGGAAUAGAAACUGCCCUGUGCUUUGCUCAGAAAUAAAAUGAUCUUGUCACUAAGGAUGAUGUUUUCAACUCUGCUUGCCACUGAAAUCUAAGCUAAGAAAAAAGGUGCAAGGAGCACAUUGCUCAACCAAUUCCAUCGUGGACACUAAGGAAGAGAAUGAGAUAUUCAAGAGUUUUCAAGAUCUGCACUCAAGACAACAUUGCCCACCCAUUACUGGUAUGGAAUAUAACCACAACACAUGAGCUGUAAAGAGUGUAGUGACUGUGACCAUCUUUGUUGUAUUGGUGAUAAGAAUGUAAAUUGGCAUAGCCUGUGGAAGAAACAAUUCAGAUUCGGCUCUGGUCUGAUCACAAUUUUCCUCAUUGUUCGUGCCCCUGUGGAGAGAUGCACUUCCAGACGGCCCCUGUUGAGGAGUAUUGCAUAAUAGGCCUGCAACAGCAAGUGGUUAUUGAAGAUUAAACAGAAGUCUCAUUUAUGGCUUAGCUUUAGAGAUUCCCUGGCAGAACCACAGGAAUCUGUUUUAUUUUAAGCACUAUCCUGAAAGCUGGUGAUUCACAUUCAUUUCUUUUAUCUUGAAGAGGAGAAAUUUGGAGCCAGAAUUUCAUCUUUGAUAUAAAUUUUAGAAUAAGCUGUCAUGAUUCACAGAAAAAUAAGACAAAAUAAUUCCUAUGAACCCUUUCAUUGAGAAAAACUAGAUUAAAUGGAAAAUUACGUUUUAAAAAAUGUGAUUGAAGAUAUUAAAGAAUACCAAGGCAAUAAGAGAGAGGAUGGGAUGAGUCAGGCCCAAAAGACUAUUACUUCAGCUUGUGCAACUGGGAAAAUGAUCUUAGAGGAAUUUACAUUUAAAUUUAAGGGACCGAAGCUGACUGUCUACAGAUUUGGAACAUCCUAGAGAAGACAAUUGUCCUGGGGAGAUGAUGUGAGUGAAAUAGGAGGCCAGCAUGGAAAUAUGGAAUGUUCAGUCCUUGCUAGCCAAGAUGAGAGCAGAAAUAAAUGAUACGAAACUAAAAAUACAAAAGUGGUGCUGGUGUCCCUCCACUUCCCAAAAGAAUGAUGCCGGACUCAUUCUUGGUGCUGAAUGACAGGUUGAUUUCUGUUCCUACAUCAAUUGGCACAGGGGAGAGCUCCACAAAACCAGGCUUAGGAAAGCUAACUGUGUAAACAUUCUAGUGGGUGUCUAUGGCCAAUUCCAAAUUGGAGCCUGUAGCUAUGAACAAUGAAGAUCCUGAAAGUUCUGUUCCAGUCUUUAAACCUCAUCAUUCAAGUGGUGGAUUUACUUUUUUCUUUACCCACAUUUUCCCUUCAUUUCCCUAAUUCUAUUGGAGUGGUUUAAGAUAAUUUUGAUUAGAAGCAGCAGACAAAAUGAAUAAUUGUAUUAUGAUAGGAUAAUUAAAAAUGUAUGAGAAUGACA